AGUUCAGCCUGGUUAGAAUGCCUGCCUGUCACGCAGGAGGUCACGGGUUCGAGUCCCGUA
Molecule: transfer RNA, 60 nt
Filed under: Bacteroidaceae bacterium
Lineage: Bacteria; Pseudomonadati; Bacteroidota; Bacteroidia; Bacteroidales; Bacteroidaceae
Description: tRNA-Asp
Rfam family: tRNA
About the family: Transfer RNA (tRNA) molecules are approximately 80 nucleotides in length. Their secondary structure includes four short double-helical elements and three loops (D, anti-codon, and T loops).
Source: RNAcentral